This is a long non-coding RNA of Herpailurus yagouaroundi (jaguarundi), 439 nucleotides long. RefSeq lists it as uncharacterized. Lineage: Eukaryota; Metazoa; Chordata; Mammalia; Carnivora; Felidae. The record is from RefSeq and is a predicted model, not a curated record. The transcript is spliced from 3 exons.
UUGUAGUCAAGCAUUAUUUGUAAUUAUGUGUCUAUUUGUCUGCUGCCUUGCUAUCUUUUUCCGCAGGAUGUCAGCUCUACGAGGAAAGGGAUGGAUUCUGUCAUUUUCAACAGCCAUACCUGGAAAAGCCUGGCACAGAAUAGUUGCUCAAGUAUUAGAUAGAGAUGCCUAAACUCUAAGAAGAUGCUUGGAAACGUCUCCGACCGAAUGGCCAUGAGAACGGAGUCGUUGCUUGAAAAGUGGUUUUAUCUCACAUUACAAAGACAAACCAAGCAAAGAGGAAGAGUUGGAGAGGAGAGACCGUGAAGACACGGAGAAUUCCGGGACUCUGCUGUCUAUCUCCGCAUAGGCUUGCUGGGAUCGGGGCGCUGCUGAUUAGCACUGGCUCUUGCUUAAGAGAAAGGAGAAAUAUCUAAAAUAAAAAAAUAGUGACAACUGA